RNAcentral lists this ribosomal RNA (81 nucleotides) under Aquisphaera giovannonii. The record is from RNAcentral. Lineage: Bacteria; Pseudomonadati; Planctomycetota; Planctomycetia; Isosphaerales; Isosphaeraceae.
GGCGACCAUACUGGCGGGGCCACACCCGUUCCCAUCCCGAACACGGCCGUUAAGCCCGCCCGGCCCAUGAUAGUGCUCAGG